This 61-nucleotide transfer RNA is filed under the name Ulva sp. A AF-2021. RNAcentral's name for it is "tRNA-Leu". The record is from RNAcentral. Lineage: Eukaryota; Viridiplantae; Chlorophyta; Ulvophyceae; Ulvales; Ulvaceae.
AUUCCAAAUGCGUUGGUUGCAAGUUCAAGUCUUGCCGCCCUUGAGUAAUUUAGUUGGAGUU